CCUACGGGGGGCUGCAGUGGGGAAUAUUGGACAAUGGGGGCAACCCUGAUCCAGCCAUGCCGCGUGUGUGAAGAAGGCCCUCGGGUUGUAAAGCACUUUCAGUGAGGAAGAACGCCUGGUGGUUAAUACCCAUCAGGAAAGACAUCACUCACAGAAGAAGCACCGGCUAACUCCGUGCCAGCAGCCGCGGUAAUACGGCGGGUGCGAGCGUUAAUCGGAAUUACUGGGCGUAAAGCGCGCGUAGGUGGCUUGAUAAGCCGGUUGUGAAAGCCCCGGGCUCAACCUGGGAACGGCAUCCGGAACUGUCAAGCUAGAGUGCAGGAGAGGAAGGUAGAAUUCCCGGUGUAGCGGUGAAAUGCGUAGAGAUCGGGAGGAAUACCAGUGGCGAAGGCGGCCUUCUGGACUGACACUGACACUGAGGUGCGAAAGCGUGGGUAGCAAACAGGAUUAGAUACCCUUGUAGUC
Molecule: ribosomal RNA, 465 nt
Filed under: Vreelandella stevensii
Lineage: Bacteria; Pseudomonadati; Pseudomonadota; Gammaproteobacteria; Oceanospirillales; Halomonadaceae
Description: partial 16S ribosomal RNA
Rfam family: Bacterial small subunit ribosomal RNA
Source: RNAcentral